Molecule: ribosomal RNA, 425 nt
Filed under: uncultured bacterium
Lineage: Bacteria
Description: partial 16S ribosomal RNA
Rfam family: Bacterial small subunit ribosomal RNA
Source: RNAcentral
GUAGGGAAUAUUGCACAAUGGGGGAAACCCUGAUGCAGCAACGCCGCGUGAGUGAUGAAGGCCUUCGGGUUGUAAAGCUCUGUCUUUGGGGACGAUAAUGACGGUACCCAAGGAGGAAGCCACGGCUAACUACGUGCCAGCAGCCGCGGUAAUACGUAGGUGGCAAGCGUUGUCCGGAUUUACUGGGCGUAAAGGGAGCGUCGGUGGAUAUUUAAGUGGGAUGUGAAAUCCCCGGGCUUAACCUGGGGGCUGCAUUCCAAACUGGAUGUCUAGAGUGCAGGAGAGGAGAGUGGAAUUCCUAGUGUAGCGGUGAAAUGCGUAGAGAUUAGGAAGAACACCAGUGGCGAAGGCGAUUCUCUGGACUGUAACUGACGCUGAGGCUCGAAAGCGUGGGGAGCAAACAGGAUUAGAAACCCGAGUAGUCC